RNAcentral lists this ribosomal RNA (450 nucleotides) under uncultured bacterium. RNAcentral describes it as "partial 16S ribosomal RNA". It matches the Rfam family "Bacterial small subunit ribosomal RNA", at positions 354 to 796 of the family's 1533-position model. The record is from RNAcentral.
GUGGGGAAUAUUGGACAAUGGGCGAAAGCCUGAUCCAGCCAUGCCGCGUGUGUGAAGAAGGUCUUCGGAUUGUAAAGCACUUUAAGUUGGGAGGAAGGGCAGUAAGUUAAUACCUUGCUGUUUUGACGUUACCGACAGAAUAAGCACCGGCUAACUUCGUGCCAGCAGCCGCGGUAAUACGAAGGGUGCAAGCGUUAAUCGGAAUUACUGGGCGUAAAGCGCGCGUAGGUGGUUUUGUAAGUUGGAGGUGAAAUCCCCGGGCUCAACCUGGGAACUGCCUCCAAAACUGCAUGACUAGAGUACGGUAGAGGGUAGUGGAAUUUCAUGUGUAGCGGUGAAAUGCGUAGAUAUAGGAAGGAACACCAGUGGCGAAGGCGACUACCUGGACUGAUACUGACACUGAGGUGCGAAAGCGUGGGGAGCAAACAGGAUUAGAAACCCUGGUAGUCC